AAACUAAUUCAGUUUGGCGGCAUUUCACUCAAUUAGAGGAAUUUGUCUUUUAAUCGAUACUCCACGAUAAAUUUAACUUUAUUCAAAAAUUUAUAUACCGCCAUCUUAAGAAUCAAUUAAAAAAUACUUUUCAAAAAAACAAUUAAAAAGUUAGGUCAAGGUGUAAUCCAUAUUAAAGAAUCAGAUGAAUUACAUUAAACAUUAUUUAAAGAUUUUAAAUAAAUUUAUUUAUAUAAAUAAGGAUUUAAAAGUAAUAUUUAAAUAAUAUUAUAAUAUGAAUUGAACAAUAAAUGUGCACACAUCGCCC
This 307-nucleotide ribosomal RNA is filed under the name Platocoelotes sp. ZZ456. RNAcentral describes it as "partial 12S ribosomal RNA". The record is from RNAcentral. Lineage: Eukaryota; Metazoa; Arthropoda; Arachnida; Araneae; Agelenidae.